AACGCUAGCGGCAGGCCUAAUACAUGCAAGUUGAACGGGAUUUCGAACUUCGGUUUGAAUGAGAGUAGCGCACGGGUGCGUAACGCGUAUGCAACCUACCUUUUACAGGGGGAUAGCCCGGGGAAACUCGGAUUAAUACCCCAUGGUAUCAUAAUACUGCAUGGUAUAAUGAUUAAAGAUUUAUCGGUAAAAGAUGGGCAUGCGUCUGAUUAGUUAGAUGGUGAGGUAACGGCUCACCAUGGCAAUGAUCAGUAGGGGUUCUGAGAGGAUGAUCCCCCACACUGGUACUGAGACACGGACCAGACUCCUACGGGAGGCAGCAGUAGGGAAUAUUGGUCAAUGGGCGAGAGCCUGAACCAGCCAUGCCGCGUGUAGGAUGACGGCCUUCUGGGUUGUAAACUACUUUUCUACAGGAAGAAAAAGCUUAUGCGUAAGCAAUUGACGGUACUGUAGGAAUAAGCACCGGCUAACUCCGUGCCAGCAGCCGCGGUAAUACGGAGGGUGCAAGCGUUGUCCGGAUUUAUUGGGUUUAAAGGGUGCGUAGGCGGCCAAUUAAGUCAGUGGUGAAAUCCUUCCGCUUAACGGGAGAACUGCCAUUGAAACUGGUUGGCUUGAGUACGGUUGAAGUAGGCGGAAUUUAUGGUGUAGCGGUGAAAUGCAUAGAUACCAUAAAGAACACCGAUAGCGUA
This 689-nucleotide ribosomal RNA is filed under the name uncultured bacterium. RNAcentral's name for it is "bacterial SSU rRNA". It matches the Rfam family "Bacterial small subunit ribosomal RNA", at positions 32 to 719 of the family's 1533-position model. The record is from RNAcentral.